CAUUACCGAGUUUACAACUCCCAAACCCAAUGUGAACCAUACCAAACUGUUGCCUCGGCGGGGUCACGCCCCGGGCGCGUCGCAGCCCCGGAACCAGGCGCCCGCCGGAGGGACCAACCAAACUCUUUUCUGUAGUCCCCUCGCGGACGUUAUUUCUUACAGCUCUGAGCAAAAAUUCAAAAUGAAUCAAAACUUUCAACAACGGAUCUCUUGGUUCUGGCAUCGAUGAAGAACGCAGCGAAAUGCGAUAAGUAAUGUGAAUUGCAGAAUUCAGUGAAUCAUCGAAUCUUUGAACGCACAUUGCGCCCGCCAGUAUUCUGGCGGGCAUGCCUGUCCGAGCGUCAUUUCAACCCUCGAACCCCUCCGGGGGGUCGGCGUUGGGGACCUCGGGAGCCCCUAAGACGGGAUCCCGGCCCCGAAAUACAGUGGCGGUCUCGCCGCAGCCUCUCCUGCGCAGUAGUUUGCACAACUCGCACCGGGAGCGCGGCGCGUCCACGUCCGUAAAACACCCCAACUUCUGAAAUGUUGACCUCGGAUCAGGUACGAAUACACGCUGAACUUAAGCAUAUC
Molecule: ribosomal RNA, 570 nt
Filed under: Trichoderma atroviride
Lineage: Eukaryota; Fungi; Ascomycota; Sordariomycetes; Hypocreales; Hypocreaceae
Description: eukaryotic LSU rRNA
Rfam family: 5.8S ribosomal RNA (bases 191-344)
Source: RNAcentral